AUGCUGCCCCCAUGCCUGCUGACGUUGUCAGCGACAUGCCAGGCAACCAUCGGUCUUCGAGGUUGCGACGCAGUUCCCACUGCGUGACCGAGCCAGCUCGCACCGCAUCCGUCCGCGAGCGGCCACCAGUCUCUGGUGGCGGAUGC
This is a regulatory RNA element of Castellaniella defragrans 65Phen, 146 nucleotides long. It matches the Rfam family "radC RNA". Lineage: Bacteria; Pseudomonadati; Pseudomonadota; Betaproteobacteria; Burkholderiales; Alcaligenaceae. The record is from Rfam.